GAACGCUGGCGGCGUGCCUAAUACAUGCAAGUAGAACGCUGAAGAGAGGAGCUUGCUCUUCUUGGAUGAGUUGCGAACGGGUGAGUAACGCGUAGGUAACCUGCCUUGUAGCGGGGGAUAACUAUUGGAAACGAUAGCUAAUACCGCAUAACAAUGGAUGACACAUGUCAUUUAUUUGAAAGGGGCAAUUGUUCCACUACAAGAUGGACCUGCGUUGUAUUAGCUAGUAGGUGAGGUAAUGGCUCACCUAGGCGACGAUACAUAGCCGACCUGAGAGGGUGAUCGGCCACACUGGGACUGAGACACGGCCCAGACUCCUACGGGAGGCAGCAGUAGGGAAUCUUCGGCAAUGGGGGCAACCCUGACCGAGCAACGCCGCGUGAGUGAAGAAGGUUUUCGGAUCGUAAAGCUCUGUUGUAAGUCAAGAACGGGUGUGAGAGUGGAAAGUUCACACUGUGACGGUAGCUUACCAGAAAGGGACGGCUAACUACGUG
This 494-nucleotide ribosomal RNA is filed under the name uncultured bacterium. Its description in RNAcentral is "partial 16S ribosomal RNA". It matches the Rfam family "Bacterial small subunit ribosomal RNA", at positions 31 to 507 of the family's 1533-position model. The record is from RNAcentral.